Loxodonta africana (African savanna elephant) is the source of this 74-nucleotide transfer RNA. It matches the Rfam family "tRNA". Rfam says of the family: Transfer RNA (tRNA) molecules are approximately 80 nucleotides in length. Their secondary structure includes four short double-helical elements and three loops (D, anti-codon, and T loops). Lineage: Eukaryota; Metazoa; Chordata; Mammalia; Proboscidea; Elephantidae. The record is from Rfam.
CCCUGGGUGGUGCAAACAGGUAACACGCUCAGCUGCUAACCGAAAGGUUGGUGGUUUGAGUCCACCCAGAGGAG